RNAcentral lists this long non-coding RNA (10833 nucleotides) under Setaria italica (foxtail millet). RNAcentral's name for it is "long non-coding RNA (SITA_LNC005516)". Lineage: Eukaryota; Viridiplantae; Streptophyta; Magnoliopsida; Poales; Poaceae. The record is from RNAcentral.
UUGUCUUUUGUGAGACCUUUUCCAUCAAGGAUCUAGGUGCCCGCUUCAAGGUUCCGCCAUCGAUCAAGAGAGGCGGAGACCCUACCCCACCGCAUCUGGAACAAGAACCGGAGCGAGGCGAGCCACCGAUCCUCCGCCGCACCACGUCGCCGGAUCCAAAGGAGAGCGGGGGUGAGCAAGAUGGAGGCUUCCAAGAAGCUCAGCGCCGGAUCGACGGGGAAGAGAAGGCACGGGUCCACGGCGCUGUUCGUGGCGGUGGACUACGCCUUCCUGCUCGCCUUCGCCGGCUUCCUCGCCUACCUCGUCGGGUCCCGGAUCCUCCCCUCCGUCGGUCCAUCGGCCUAGAUCGGCUCCCGUCCUCCGUGGAUCUCUUCUUUCUCUGCCGCUCUGUAUUUCGUUUGGAUUCGAUAUGAGGCCCAUCCCGGGAUCUUUCCCGGGCGAUGGAUCUCGUCUCGUUGUGAUGCGGCUCCUGCGAUGUAAUCCAAUCCCAUUUUGUUGAGGAGAGAACUAGUGAUGUUUCUUGGCAAUCGUCAUGCUGAUGUGAGAAAUCUUUGCUUGUUCAGUUGCUACAUCUGUUCGUGUACUGAGAUUGCUUAGCAUAAUAGCAUUUGAAUUGAUCCGGCUUCUAUGUGCCUGUCUGUCCGACUGAAAGUGAAUCGAUCAGGUUAAUCUCAUGCUUCGUUUUUUAUCUGUGAUCUGUGAUUCAAUACUUGUGAUUUGUGAACUUGGUUUCUGUGCUUUUACUUGUCUUCUAAAUAUCUACCAUAACUCAUCCUCUCUCUUGCCUAGCACAUUAGUUGAGUAAUAAUCACUGUCAUUCUUACCUGCCUGUACUAUAAACCAAAGCUGGAUCCAAAAUGAGCAACGAGGUUCAGCUGUCAUUUCAGCAAUUCUUGGUCGUUAUUGAUCCAAAACGAGCAACGAGUUAUUCACUACUUCAUAUUUUGCCACAUUUUGCUCCAAAUUCAAAUGGACCAGUAUUUUUUUUUCUGAAGGAAUGGUAUGAUGCCAGUUAUCCUUUGCCAUUACUCCGGAAAUACUGUUUCUCCUCCGUCUUACAGUGUUCUUACCAUUAUUUUUCUGUUCGUGAUGUCAAACUAGACUCAAAUUUUGAGAUGUUUAGCCUACAAAUGCUGAAGGGUAUGGGUAUCUGUUUGCUGAGAGAACUCGUUAGGACACAAAAGCUUAGAGCUCUAGUGCUUCAGAAAACAAUAGGUUGAAUUCAAGCAAAAUACACCUGUUCAAUUUUCAUUGCAAGAGGAAGAGAUCAGGUCUUUUUAGCAUCUCCACUAUGAAAACCCGUACCAUACAUACAGCACAUUGCAUCAAAAGUCUCAUUUUAUCUUCCUGACUGCCAAUAUGAGGAAUACUUCAUGAGGCUACUGCCUGACUGCCCGACAGCAACGAUCAGUCAGCAUAUUCCUUGAUAGCUGCUGUACUUGUGCUCGUUUAGGAGCUGGCAUACAGAUACUCACAAGUUUACGACACUAAACGGAUGCCUGCGACUGAUGGGAUCUUCUCUCUGAGCUUCUGAGCUAGCGCCACUCGAACAGUCUUCACACCUGCAGCGCGGCCUGUGAGCCGGACUUUAACAAUGGGGCCAACAAUCUUGAUGAACUCAAGCUUGCCACCUCCUGUGCCAGCAAGGUAUGGUCUGAUUUCAGCUAGUACCUGAAAUUUAGUUUAAUGGAGGCACCAAUACUUUCAGCUAUCCCUUUUUAACAUUUUUGUCUGUAAGAAGGUGAAAAGGGUAGAUCUUUAAUGGUGUGUGUGGUGUAGAUUGAUGCCAGGAGACACGGUAUAAUGUCACAAACAAUUAUUGGCACUAUGGUAAUAGAGAAAUAUCACUUAAUCAUAAAGAAAAGAAGAUGUUUUAUCCAUUCAGAGUUUCAGACACUCCUAUUUCCUGCAUAGCAGAACUGACAAAUUCCAGUGUUUCAUAUCUCAUACUAAUAUAAGCUGGACUUGGAGUUCUAUUAAGAGCAGGAAUAGUUUUGCUCCAGGUAUUGAGCGCUUAGACCAACAAAAGGUUACCUGCAUUUUUCUCAUAAGAUAAAAAAAUUCAAUAGAAACAAGCCAGCAACAUAGUUUCAAUGUAGAAGGAAUGCAAACCCAAAACAGUUCCAAUGCUUGAACAAUGAUGUGAUAAUAAUUGGUCCUAAACUAUAGCUUAGCACUAAUUUGCACAAAACUGGUGGUAAGAACUGGCAACAAUCAGUUAUAUUUAUACAAGACUCUAAUUUCAGAGCAUAUUUAUAUUUCAGUUUUUACAUGUGCGAGGUUGCUAAUGCUGCAAUAUUAGCACAUUCUAGACAAAAUUUGUAAGGUGGGUCUAUAUAUGCAUAUUUAUUUAGACGUUUUCUUGAGCUAGGCAGGGCAUCAAAUUUGACAAACGUCCCUGUGGGAAAAUAUUCAGUGCCAAGCAGUCCUGGACCUAUCGACCAUAUAUCGAUGCCAUCACCUGCAUGUUUACGCGAUCACUGGAGUCACCCUAACUAUGUCUAUUCCUGCAAAUAAUCUAACAAGUGUACAUGAUUCAGAACAAUAAAAACAAAAUAAGCCUACAAGUUGACAAGUACCUUCUGCACAUUAGCUGGAUUUAGCUUAAGCCCCAUCUCCUUAUCCGAAACACGUUCAACUGCACUGAUCUCUGGUAUGUUCUCUAUCAAGCGCCGCUCGAUGCCCAUCUUCAUUGUUGUCACUGAGCUUGGACACGAACCACAUGCUCCCUGAAGCUUUAACCUCACCACACUCCCAUCAAUCUUAUGCAAGGCGACGUCGCCUCCAUCUGCUAUUAGAUACGGGCGCACUUUAUCCAGAACCGACUCGACAUUUCCAACGGUUAGUGGCAAUUGUACCACUGUAUGCAGGUCGGCAACAGAUCGAGCAACUGCUACAAACAGAACAACAGUAGGUGAAGGUUCAGUUGACCUCAUAUAAUGGCAGGGUACUGAAUCGGCGCAGAGUUUCAGCUAAAUAGAUGCAAUGCAACGGAAGCACGGAACAAUGAAUCUUAUUUAAACAAUGUAUUUAUAUUCAUCAAAAUCAAGUAAAAGUUCCUCGUCCCAAUGCAGGUAUGCGAGCAUGUUGAGGGAACAUCUGCAGAAAGCUUUGCGAUUGGCAACUGCAGCGCCGACGAUAGGGAGGCCUCACCUUGCAGACGCCGGCGGCCAGCGGACAUGGCGGCAACCAAUCUUGGCGUAGGGCUCCCACGCGGCCACGACGCGACCCUCACCUUCAGACCGGAGAAUCUCAGUUAGCAUCGUCACAUUCCCAAAGAAAGUAUGGGGAAACAGAAGGCAAGAGGACGCCAUGCCCAACCAUGGACGAGGAGGAAGUGGACGGCGCAAACUGCGCCGCGCCCGCGGCGGCGGCGGCCGCCGCCGUCGCCAUCUCCGGUGGCCCGGCCCGACUGGAACGGCCCCUCACGCCUGAGGCCUGAGGGUGAAGUAUUCCAAUCGGCCGGCGUGGGGGUCGAGACGCUCCCAAUCGCCGGCCGCCACCGUUGUUCCUCGUGUGCGGGCGGGUGAUUUUGUAUCGUGCCGCUAUUCGCGUGCUCGCGCUUUCUCCUCUCGGGCGCGCCGGCUCGCCCGGGCGCUCGUUUCNNNNNNNNNNNNNNNNNNNNNNNNNNNNNNNNNNNNNNNNNNNNNNNNNNNNNNNNNNNNNNNNNNNNNNNNNNNNNNNNNNNNNNNNNNNNNNNNNNNNUCUGGCAGCAAUGGCAUAUGUCUGAAAGGGGAAAAAAUGUUUUUUGAACUACUACAAUAUAUGCAUAAUGGAACAGAUAAAAGACAAAGAAAAGAUUGCAAAUCUCCAUUGGUUUAGCAGAAUAAAUGUUAAAGAACAUUUGAUGCAUGGGGUGAAUAUAUAUAUUUAAACCAAUACUCCAGACUGUAUUCUGUAAAUAACAGUGUGACGGGGGGUUGCAUCCGGAAAUGAGCUCGCUGUUUUUCUAUUUUCCUCACGAUGGAAUUCGACGUUCGAUUCCUCACGAAUCUUUUCUUUUCGUCAACUAGCGAAAUCACACGAAUUUAAGAAUUCUAGAUUUUUCAAUCUGAAUAGUGUCCAAAUGUUUGGACAAAUUUGCGGGGAAAAGAUCAAGACUAGUUACAUAAUGCCUUUUCUGUUUGUACGCAACUUAUGCUCUAGUCCAAAGUAUUAUGGUUAGGUUGCAGUAGUGGGAGAAAAGAUGCCCAUGUUACAAGUAGAUCUUUGAGCCCGUGUCAAAUAAUGUGGCACUUUCUUUUGUCGUGCUCCACCUGUCAGUAGAAAAGAAAAAGGUACGAGGAAAAUAGAGUGAGGAGUGAAAGCUGACCUUGCAAGUUCAAACAAUGUCAGAAGGGGUGUUCGCUACUGCUCUGGAUGCAUAUUUCAUCCAUUAAGGUGGCAUUAAACAUUUAUAAGCAUAUAUGACCUAAACAAAACUCAAACUUAACUGAAAUCCUUUUGACCAAAACCAUACUUCCAUGGUUACAAUUAUUUUCGUGAAUUUUUAAUAUGAAAUGGUAGAUAGCAUGCUGUUAUAAAAGCUACUCAAGCGUUUGUCCAACAAAUUAUGAUAGGAGGAAAGAAGAUAUUUUGUAGGGGCAAAACCAUAAAACUAUACUGUGGUGAUUGGUGAAACACAAAACAUCACUAUUUGGAAAACAAUGAAGCUGUCGAAACUCAAAAGUUUGAAGUUAUUUGGAAACACAUGUUAAUGAAUGGAUGUUCUGGAGUCUGACAGUGUGUCGGUGUCAACGAACGCGAACAGGUUAGGCAGGCAAAAAAAAUUACCUGCCAUGGGCCUCUCUCUGGGAGUCAACGGUCCACGGAUCCCAGAGCAGGGUCAUCAUAGACCGUCCAAACCGCCGAGGAAAACAACCAUCUCCUGGAAUCCACGGGCACCCGGCAAAGAAAACGCCCGCAGGCCGGCAGGCAGAUCGCGAGGAGGCAGCUGGGCUCGUGAGUCUUGCCGUCUCGCGGGCCAACCCGAACCCCAAGGCUCGCGACCGCGACACUCCCCCGUCUCCUCCUCCCGCUCGCUCCUCCUCAGAUCUCGCCGCCGGCGGACAUGCUCCCCUCCUCCCGCGCCGCCCGUGGCCGCGGCCUCGGCCUCGGAUGCCUCCUGCUCGGCCUCGCCCUCACUCUCGCGUCCCUGCUCGCCCUCGCCGCCGCCUCCGAGGCCGACCACAAGGUACGCGCGCGUCCAUCCUUGCCGCCCCGGAUCCAAGUCUCUGCUCCGCCCGUGGGUUGGAUCGCCGCCGGAUCUGGGCCGCCUCUCCGGUCGGAUCCCUGCGCUGCUGGGUUGCUGGCGGUGGCGGCGGCUCUCGCCCGGGGCGCUUCUAGUGCGCGGUUUGAUUGUUCAGACAGAGGGAGCUGACGAGAUGAGAGAGUUGUGUUGGAUGGUUGCGGAUGUUAAAAGCAUGCCGCUCAUCUAGAGUAUAGGUUUGCUUGAGAAGUAAGGUUCGAUGUGGGAGUGCAAAUGGGCGUGCUGGGACUUCAGCAUGAAAGCUUAAUGGUUCAUGGGUUUUUGAAUUUUCAGUAGAUGGUUGCGGUGGUUGAUGUUGGUCCGAGUUCUGAUGCUUAGAAACAUAUAUAACUUAGUGUCAGUAAGGAGAAAUUCUUGUACAUUUGGGUCUAGUACAGCUAUAUCCUGUGGAUGUCUGUGUUUUUGUGUUAGAAGGAGAAAUGUAUAACUUAGCUCACAGAAUUCCUAUGCCUUUGGUUACAACUAGCAGUGUCGUUAUUAUUCAUGCUCUCUGUCAUUGAUAAUUCACUGAUAACAUGCUAUGUGCUAUCCUGAAGCUAUGGAUACGUUUGGCCAGAAUUCUAGAUUUUUAUGUUUACUCAGCAUUUUUCUAUGUUCUACCAGAAUGUCACAGACUACUACGUGCACUGAGUUUACCUCUCUUUUCUUUUCCUCAAUCAGGCUUAAUGUUGAGGUAUCUUAGAUUUUUUUUAUCACUAAAUGAAAAAACUUCCUGGUAAUGGUCCAUCUUUAGUCGAUUCAUAAAAUUUAUUUAUGCUAGAUAUCACGCUGAUGGAAACAUCAAAACCAAAAUUUGUAAAUAGCAGAGAGAAUCUUUAUUAGUAAGAUGUUGCAGUUACUGCUGUCAUUCUUGAGUACUUAGGAUAUGUGAAGAAAUUGUUUUUAUAACUUAGCAAGUCUCAAUGAUAGCUGCUAUCAGGAAUAGUUACUAAGAACCCCAUGGCUUCUCUGUUUAAAUCUGGAUAGUAUUACAUUAUAUUAUAGAUAUGUCGACCCACCAAUCCCUGAUAAAUAAUUCAAUACAGAAAUUAGAAGCAGAAAUCAUCCAUAGCAUCUCACAGAUUUACUUCAUGUGACUGCUGUGUUGUAUAUAAGCUUUAGUAUUUUUUUCCUUGCGAAAUAAAUUAUGCUUCCUACAUGCAGUACAAAUAUGUUCCAAACUCAAAAGUUUUCAUCCUUUUUGUGCUUCUUUCAUGCAGUACAAAGCUGAAGAGCCAGUUAAGCUCUGGGUGAAUAAAGUUGGCCCUUACAACAACCCUCAAGAAACUUACAACUAUUACAGCCUUCCAUUUUGUCAACUAUCUGAGAACCCUAUACAUAAAUGGGGUGGCCUUGGAGAGGUCCUGGGUGGAAAUGAGCUGAUUGAUAGUCAGCUUGACAUAAAGUUCUUAAGUAUGCCGAUAUUGUUCCCAUUUCAUCCAUGUCUUUAUUUACUAUAUAUUAGAAAGUCCAUAUUCCUGUAAGUACACCUUUUCUGCCUUACUGAUUGUAUAAGUGUUACCUUUGGUCUAGGAAAUGAGGAGAAGGGCUUCAUUUGUACACUUGAGCUAGAUUCUAAAAAGGUUCAGCAGUUUGCUGAUGCUAUUGAGAACUCAUAUUGGUUUGAAUUAUUCAUAGGUAUGUGGAUCCACUUUUUGAUCCAUUAUGUCCUAUUGUGUUAUGAUGAUUAGGGAUGUGCUUAUUUCUGACACCGUUUUUCAUCAUUGUCGGUAUCAAUUGCUUUUGGUUGUUUGCUGCCAUAUUCUCCUAGACGAUCUGCCUCUUUGGGGUAGGCUCUUCUCAACUAAGUAUUUUAUUCUCUCAGUUUUGUGUCUUUUUUUUUACCUGACAUGAUAGUUGUCAUCUGUUCCGAACAGGUUUUGUUGGGGAGACUGACAAGAACAGUGAAAACAAGCAUUAUCUUUACACCCACAAGAACAUCCUUGUUAAAUACAAUGAGAACAGGGUAUGCUAUCUCGCGUUGAUCCAGAUUCGAGAACACUAACACAUAAAUCUGGACGCAACUAAAUAUGUGAACUUUGUUUUAGAUAAUUCAUGUAAAUCUCACCCAAGAGUCUCCUAAGCUUCUUGAAGCUGGUAAGAAGCUGGAUAUGACAUAUUCAGUGAAGUGGGUCGCAACAGAUGUGUCAUUUGCACGUCGUUUUGAAGUGUACCUGGACUAUCCUUUCUUUGAACACCAGGUGAUACUUUAUCUGUAGACAACCAGCAACUUUCUAUCCAAUCUGUCAAUUUGAACACUAGAUAGCUGUAUCUUCCCUUUUUACUAACUACAAUAUUCUAAUUUAUGUUCAUAUUACUCUUUCAGAUUCACUGGUUCUCCAUUUUCAACUCCUUUAUGAUGGUUAUUUUCCUAACUGGUUUGGUUUCAAUGAUAUUGAUGCGGACUUUGAGAAAUGAUUAUGCUAAAUAUGCUCGUGAAGACGAUGAUCUGGAGUCCCUGGUGAGAAUCUGAGUUCCGGUGCACAUGCUUUCUAACUGUAUACUUGAUAGCUUGAGAAAUUUCUUUUCCUAGCUUUUGCCCACUUCCCACUCAAUUAUUGCUUAAGUUAUCAUAUUACCUUGGUAGGAGAGAGAUGUUAAUGAUGAAUCAGGAUGGAAGCUUGUCCAUGGUGAUGUAUUUCGGCCUCCCCGAAGUUUGAUGUUUCUUUCUGCACUUGUUGGUAUUGGCACCCAGCUGGCAGCUCUUAUCCUACUUGUGAUUGUGUUGGCCAUCGUUGGCAUGUUAUACAUCGGGUACGCUCAACAUACACCCCCUUUCCCUUCUCCUUGCAUGCACAACUUAUAGCUUGAAAUAUCUGUGUAGCUAAAAUGUCAUGCUCAUAUGGGGGAAAACAUACAGUGCACUGUGCACAAUACAUGAAAGUAAUGCAGGGAUUAUAUAAAAUUUUGUAUGGGACGGGCUUUUGUAGGAUCAGAACCAUUUUAGUUUGUAUCCAUGAUACACACCACAUGCCUGUUGGAAACUUCCCGGGAGCCAUGGAACUCUUAACUAAAUCGGCUUUUAAUCAGUGUGCAAAUAGCUGGGUUUAAAGUUGUCUCCGGCUGUUUUGGCUGAAUACUGCACCUUUUUCAGCAGUUGAAAUAAUGCAUGCUCCUUUAGUUUACCUAUUCGUUUUCUUCUGGAUGCACUUGAAUUAUAAGCAAAAGAGUGUUAAAUCCUCCUUUUUUAUGUUCUACUCCCUCCGUUCCAAAUUAUAAAUCAUUCCAACUUUCUUGGAGAGUCAAAACAUCUUAAGUUUGACCAAAUUUAUACAAUAAAGUACUAACAUUCAUGAUACCAAAUAAGUACCAUUAGUUUCUUCAUUAAAUAUAUUUUCAUGGUAUAUCUAUUUGGUGCCAUAAACCUUUGUGAUCCUCUCUAUAAUUUUGGUCAAACAUAAAAUGGUUUGACUCUCCAUGAAAGUUGGAAUGACUUAUAAUUUGGAACGGAGGGAGUAGAAGUUACUCCCUCCGUCCCAAAAAACAAGUUGUUUUAGGAUUGUCCUAAGUCAAACUUUUUUAAGUUUGACUAAGAUUAUAGAAAAAACUACAUUAUUUAUGGUAUGAAAUAAGUGCCAUUAGAUUUAUUAUGAAAUAUAUUUUUAUAAUAUACCUAUUUGAUGCCAUAAACAUUGAUACUUUUCUCUAUAAAUUUGGUCAAAGUUGAGAAAGUUUGACUUAAGACAAACCUAGAAUGACUUGUUUUUUGGGAUGGAGGGAGUAUGUUAUUAAUAUCAUGUCGCAUUAUGUUUUACUUCUCAAAGUGAUGGUGGUCUGCCCUUUUGUACAUAUAAGUGAUUAAUUAUAACCUUAAAGACAUACAUUGCCUCUUGAAAUAUUUAAGCAGGUGUGCAAUCCUUUCCACAAAUUGUCUUUCUCUAACUUCAACUGUAUGGUGUUUUUCAGGCGAGGGGCUAUCAUCACAACCUUCAUUGUGUGCUAUGCUCUUACAUCGUUCAUUUCUGGAUAUGUUAGCGGUGGUCUUUACUCAAGGAAUGGUGGUAUGGUUCUGCCAAUUUCAUAUUUGUUCUACUGUUUGUUUGCACAUUUUUUUUUUUUGCAAAUAUCUUUUGCUGUCUCAUGCUAUUCUUCUCUUUCAAAGAUUUCAAGUUAUCAUGUAUGGAACCCUGACCUCAAUCUAUGGCUUAUCGAAUGCAUUUCUUGAAUCUGUGGCAGGCAAAAACUGGAUUAAAGCUAUGGUCCUUACAGCAUCCCUCUUUCCGUUCCUGUGUUUUUCAAUUGGCUUCGCACUGAAUACAAUUGCUAUCUUCUACCGCUCAUUAGCAGCAAUACCAUUCGGCACAAUGGUUGUCAUGUUUGUACUUUGGGCUUUCAUCUCCUUUCCCUUGGUGCUUUUGGGAACUGUCGUUGGUAGGAACUGGAGUGGUGCUCCUAACAACCCCUGCCGAGUAAAGACUAUUCCACGGCCUAUUCCUGAGAAGAAGUGGUACCUUACACCUUCUGUCAUCUCGUUGAUGGGUGGACUGCUUCCCUUUGGCAGCAUCUUCAUUGAGAUGUACUUUGUCUUCACGUCAUUCUGGAACUACAAGGUAAACAAGGAAGUGUUGAUUAAUACUUUUGCACUCCUUGAUAUUCUCCUUUACCGUUAUGGUCUACUUUUAUACUUUAAGGUGUACAUGAUUGGUUAUUUUUUAAUGUUCUCUGCGGAUUCUAAAUGAUGUCCAUGCUUCAUAUUGCAUUUUGUGUAUGAGCUUGUCUGGAGCCAUAUUUGCAAUUUUUGUUGGAUCAACCGCCCGAUUGAUGCAAUUUUGGGUUCUUGGCAGGUGUAUUAUGUCUAUGGUUUCAUGUUGCUGGUCUUCGUCAUCCUUCUAAUAGUCACCAUCUGUGUCACUAUUGUGGGUACUUAUUUCUUGCUGAAUGCCGAGAACUAUCAUUGGCAAUGGACUUCGUUUUUCUCUGCAGCAUCAACUGCUCUCUACGUGUAUCUAUACUCCAUCUACUACUACCAUGUGAAGACAAAGAUGUCAGGCUUCUUCCAGACAAGUUUCUACUUUGGCUACACAUUGAUGUUCUGCCUUGGUCUAGGCAUACUUUGUGGUAAGCUCUCUUUUUUAACUGAACAAUGUGCCUUUGCUAUAUACGGGACUGCUUUUAGUUUUUGACUCCUGCUUUUUUUCCCUGUGAUUCAGGUGCUAUUGGGUAUGUAGGGUCAACUCUCUUUGUAAGGAGAAUCUACAGAAAUAUCAAAUGUGAUUAAAUUCCUGCUACUCACUAUCAUACGGAAGCAAGGCCUCGAAAAUGGAUCAUAUGUAUUGCCAGUGCGGAAGCAAGGCCUCGAAAAUGGAUUAAUGGUAGAUCCUGAAUAGGUUUUUGAAACUACAGAGGACAUGCUCCCUUUGUUCACUAUCAUACGCAUUUUUUGCUUGCCUGCUUAUUCCUGUGGAAUCGUCGUCAUAAUGUAUACCUAUGUAGUUGAGGAUUAGCCUGAAGCACCUGUUUUUAUCCUUUUCUUUUUCUUUUUUUUUGUAUUUUUAUUCGGUAGGAUGUAAUCAGUGAAUCUUCAUGCGGCGCAAGCACAAUUAUCGGGAAUUCUCCAUCCUAUGCAUCGUGCAUCUUCAAGUUUGAACGAGUGACCACGGGCAGCA